This 623-nucleotide ribosomal RNA is filed under the name Rhodotorula diobovata. RNAcentral's name for it is "partial large subunit ribosomal RNA". It matches the Rfam family "Eukaryotic large subunit ribosomal RNA", at positions 35 to 669 of the family's 3401-position model. Lineage: Eukaryota; Fungi; Basidiomycota; Microbotryomycetes; Sporidiobolales; Sporidiobolaceae. The record is from RNAcentral.
UUGCAUUUCAAAAAAGCGGAGGAAAAGAAACUAACAAGGAUUCCCCUAGUAGCGGCGAGCGAAGCGGGAAGAGCUCAAAUUUAUAAUCUGGCACCUUCGGUGUCCGAGUUGUAAUCUCUAGAAGUGUUUUCCGCGUUGGACCGCACACAAGUCUGUUGGAAUACAGCGGCAUAGUGGUGAAACCCCCGUAUAUGGUGCGGACGCCCAGCGCUUUGUGAUACACUUUCAAUGAGUCGAGUUGUUUGGGAAUGCAGCUCAAAUUGGGUGGUAAAUUCCAUCUAAAGCUAAAUAUUGGCGAGAGACCGAUAGCGAACAAGUACCGUGAGGGAAAGAUGAAAAGCACUUUGGAAAGAGAGUUAACAGUACGUGAAAUUGUUGGAAGGGAAACGCUUGAAGUCAGACUUGCUUGCCGGAGCUUGCUUCGGUUUGCAGGCCAGCAUCAGUUUUCCGGGGUGGAUAAUGACGGUUUGAAGGUAGCAGUCUCGGCUGUGUUAUAGCUUUCCGUUGGAUACGCCCUGGGGGACUGAGGAACGCAGCGUGCUUUUUGCGAAAGACUCGUCUUUUUCACGCUUAGGAUGCUGGUGGAAUGGCUUUAAACGAUCCGUCUUGAACCACCGGACCCA